CCAGCAGUAAAGAUAAAACAAAGGUGCCACCCCUCAGAGAGGUCCCAAUGGGGAGUGCACAAGGUAGAAUAGGACAUGGAAAUGCACCCCUCACCUCUUCAGAAGUGAGGCAUUUUAAAAAGGAAAUGGAGGUAUCAUUCAGUGACCCAGUAGGUUUGUCAGAACAAUUUGACCAGUUCUUAGGCCCUAGGAUUUACCCUUGGGGAGAAUUAAAUUCAAUCAUGCAAACCUUUUCUCUCCAGAGAAGAGAAAAGUUAUUUAGACUGCAGGGAUCAAUAUAUUGGACAGAGAACAUAAUUUAGGACCAAAUGGAGAGAAGAAAUUACCAUUAACUGAUCCAGAAUGGAACCCUAACUCAGAUGAGGGAAGAAAAAGUAUAGCAGAAUACAGAACCCGAAUUGUAAGGGGAAUAAAAGAGGCAGUCCCCAGAGUUAAUAACAUGAAGAAAGCCUUUGGAAGCGAACAAGAAAAAGAUGAGAGCCCAACUGACUGUAUAACUCGCUUAAAGAAUGACAUCCAAAUAUAUUCAGAAAUAGAUUUAGAUAGUGAAGGAGGGAAGACAAUGUUCUAGGUCCACUUUGCAUUACAUUCUUGGCCUGACAUAAAACGGAAAUUAGAGAAAUUGGAUGGCCAGAAAUUAGUUUAGAUGAGUUAUUAGCUGAAGCACAGUAAGUUUAUGCCAGGUGAAAUGAAGAGAAAAUGAAGACUAAAGCUAAGAUGAUGGCUGCUGUCCAAAUUCCUAAACCAAUUAGGCAGGAUGGGGAGAAUACUCAAUUGAAGAAACCUAUUUGCUUUUAUUGUAAGAAAGAAGACCAUAUGCAAUCCUGCUGUUUUAAGACAUUGAGGGACUUAAGAGAUUCUCCAAGUGGAGAAUCAACCCUCAGAGAACUGAGGGGGCCUGGGGCUCUUCUUCUAGGGGCACAAAAACCAUCUUCCAGAGCCCUUGAUAAAAUCAAGAAUAGGACCCCAAGAACAAUUAAUGGAAUUUUUAGUAGACACAGGAGCAGAGAAAACUUGUGUAAGUGAAAAACCAAAUGGAUGUGCCAUAAGCAAAGACACUUUCAAUAUUUGUGCUGUUAAAGGGGAAUCCUUCCCCAUUCCCAUCAUUAAGAAUGUCACUAUAAAGGGUAAUGGACUAACCAGAAAUGGAGAUUUGUUUUUCUACCUCCAGCAGGUAACAGCUUCCUUGGCCGGGAUCUCCAGAUACCUUUGAAAGUUCGAGUAGUUCCACAAGAAGGAAGGAUGAAGGUCAAAUUGUUUACUUUAUCCACACAAGAUGAACAGCUGAUUAUUCCUAUAGUGUAGGCCUGAACAGAUUCUCCUUCUAGACACCUGUUUGCCUUCACCUGGGAAGAUCCAGACACUGGAAGGAAACAGCAGCUCACCUGGACCUGGCAGCUGUAAGGGAGAAACAACAUGAAUAGAACCAAGGCCAGUUCGAGGAAGGACUUUCCUGCAUUUAGGUCCCUUCCUGCAUCCAGGUUGAACUGGUUACUUGAUGCCAUAGCAACUGUGCAAACUAAUGAGAGAGCUUCCCAUCGAAAACCUCAGAGAUAUGAUCCCACCCCAGUGACAGCACACUCUGGGAAAGAAGAUCUUACCCCAUCAUCUACUAGCACCAAUCACCAGAGACUAUGGGGGCAGAACUGCAAGUACAGACUGAGGGGACCGAGAAUAUCAAAGGGGCAGCCUGACCUGAAGAGCUGUCUUUGCUGUCUUUUACUGUUCCUGGGACUGUGACUUAGCUACAGCAGGGGACCCCACAGUACAGAUUUCAGUCAAUAUCUCUUUUUAGAGACCUUUUUCCAGAUUUGAGGGCAGACUAAGUGCAUUCACUGCAAUGCUCUUGGGUUCUUGCC
Passer domesticus (house sparrow) is the source of this 1859-nucleotide long non-coding RNA. RefSeq lists it as uncharacterized. The record is from RefSeq and is a predicted model, not a curated record. The transcript is spliced from 4 exons. NCBI's taxonomy places the organism in Eukaryota, Metazoa, Chordata, Aves, Passeriformes, Passeridae.